This 301-nucleotide ribosomal RNA is filed under the name uncultured bacterium. Its description in RNAcentral is "partial 16S ribosomal RNA". It matches the Rfam family "Bacterial small subunit ribosomal RNA", at positions 509 to 807 of the family's 1533-position model. The record is from RNAcentral.
CAGUCGCCGCGGGAAUACGAAGGGGGCUAGCGUUGCUCGGAAUGACUGGGCGUAAAGGGCGCGUAGGCGGCGAUCAAAGUCAGGCGUGAAAUUCCUGGGCUCAACCUGGGGGCUGCGCUUGAUACUUGGUUGCUUGAGUGGGGAAGAGGGUCGUGGAAUUCCCAGUGUAGAGGUGAAAUUCGUAGAUACUGGGAAGAACACCGGUGGCGAAGGCGGCGACCUGGUCCUUGACUGACGCUGAGGCGCGAAAGCGUGGGGAGCAAACAGGAUUAGAUACCCCAGUAGUCCCUGUCUCUUAUAC